Dermacentor albipictus is the source of this 1105-nucleotide long non-coding RNA. RefSeq lists it as uncharacterized. Lineage: Eukaryota; Metazoa; Arthropoda; Arachnida; Ixodida; Ixodidae. The record is from RefSeq and is a predicted model, not a curated record.
CGUGCAAUUUAAAUCCAAGCGAUUCUGGAAGGUGUACGUUACCUACGGGUGCCACUGUGUGAAUCGCUUCACGUUCUGUUAUGGGAUGUGCUGAGUGGUCUCCGGAUUUUUUGCUGCAGCAUACACAUGCGUCAACCAGUUCCGAAUAUUCGCUCCGGUGUGUUCUUGUCCUUAGGCAACCAGCUCGAGCCUCAACUAGCAAGACACUUCGCUGUGUGUUAUUGUACAGAUUUUCCCUUCUAAUUUCUUUCUUCCCAUCCUUGUAAAUCUUCCGUGAUCUUUUCUGUUUCCAUUCCUUGCAUCCGAUUCACUGCCUCUUUCUCUCACUUCUUUUUUUGAUGACUCCUGGUUGUCUCGUUAAGCUUUCAAUUACCCCGUACUUGGUCGCCAAAUUUCUUGACCUCUUCCUCCAUUCUGUGUCCACGCUUGUCGGCCGUCCCAGGCCGUCGUCAUCGGGCUGCCGUCAUUGUGUCAAUGUCAUCCCUUAAAAUUCUCAUUCCACACGUGUCAUGACAUCGUCAUCAUACCACCUUCGCACACCGGCGCAGUGGGGCCUUAGCAAAUCCACUACAACGGGCACAGUCAGGGAGCCCAGACGGGGAAGCUUCUUCGUAAAGGACAUCAAGCAGCUCAUGGGACGGCUCGUCGGACGCAUCACCGGUCAGUACGGCGGUCCGCGGCGCCAGUCCAGCAGAACCACCUCUGGAUGCUGGCCACGAUCGCUCAUCGCGGUGCAGGUCGAUGCUUCAUUCCGUGCCGAUGCUGAAGCUGUCUUCGCCACCUCGUCGAGCGCACUGGAGAAUAACUGCAGAGGGUGAACCUCCAUAGGAAGGCCACCACGUCCUCAGGCGUCAGUGGCCGGCACAACCAGGUCGUCCUCGUGCUCGAUUUCUGCGCCACUGACGCAGUCAGGUUCGCCAGCGCUUGACUCUGCAGGGACAGGUCCCCCUGCGAGCUGCGGCGGUGGCGAGGAAUCCCCAAAACGGUAGCCGUCACUGAUGUUGGCUUUCGCGGCGAAAGCCGUCUUCGCGCCAUCUAGACAUGUCUGGAGCCGGGACCCAACCUCGUCACGAAGCAUGGCUUGGUGCGCAAGGAAAAAAAGAAA